UUUUCUGCUCCCCAUUGUCACGACUGGAACAGGAAUCAACCAGGUAAAUGAGGCUAGACGUCUUUAUUUGCAGAAUGGAUCGGGAACCAGAGAUACGGUGAGUAGACCGAAUGAUGACAGUCGUGAAUUACUUCGCUUGUCGGUGAUCUGAGCCUCUCCUGCCAGGGAAGCGGAUGGUGAACAGAAGCACACGGUAACUAGGUGGAGGAAGAUCAGGGAACAGGCUGUAUCUGGAACGGGAAAUCUCAGUGAACGUUUCGAAAGGAGUUAUACAAGCUUGGUUAUAAACCCAUCCUGUUUCUGGGGAAGGAGACCAGGAAGGUUAAUCAGAAGUGGGUAGCUGAAAUGGUGACUGCCUUGGGUCCAGUUCCAGAGGGCCCCCACAGAGAUGUUUUAAAGAUGUCUUGUCUUUAUGAGUAUCUACUAAAAGCUUUUUGUAGGUUUGCAACAACUUCACAGGGCACCCAGCCGGAGACCCCCCCCAGUGGACCCACAGUGACCCCCCCCUCCAUCUGAGGCCCAGGCCGGUGGACCCACAGUGACCCCCCCUCUAUCUGAGGCCCAGACCAGUGGACCCACAGUGAACUCCCCUCCAUCUUAGGCCCAGGCCAGUGAACCCACAAUGACAUCCCCUCCAUCUGAGACCCAGGCCAGUGGACCCACAGUGACCUCCCCUCCAUCUAAGGCCCAGGCCAGUGAACCCGCAGUGACCGCCACUACUUCUAAAGCCCAGGCCAGUGGACCCACAGUGACCUUCCCUCCAUCUGUGGCUCAGGCAAGUGAACCCACAGUGACCUCCACUCCAUAUGAGGCCCAGGCCAGUAAACCCACACUGACCUCUCCUCCUUCUGGGCCACUGGCCAGUGAACCCCCCCGUCUCAGUUCCAAG
Long non-coding RNA from Esox lucius (northern pike), 889 nucleotides. RefSeq lists it as uncharacterized. NCBI's taxonomy places the organism in Eukaryota, Metazoa, Chordata, Actinopteri, Esociformes, Esocidae. The record is from RefSeq and is a predicted model, not a curated record. The transcript is spliced from 3 exons.